Molecule: long non-coding RNA, 590 nt
Filed under: Homo sapiens (human)
Lineage: Eukaryota; Metazoa; Chordata; Mammalia; Primates; Hominidae
Description: HSALNT0151846
Source: RNAcentral
GGGGCUUCUUCACAAGGGAUUGUUCAUGCCAUUCAAGGAUGAUGCCAAAAUAUAUAUUCUCCUUUUUCAAAUGUAAAAUGGACACGAACUUUUGGAAAACCAGGAAAACAAACAAAAAGACAGAAUGUGCUAUAACCUUCUGGAAACUUCUACUAUUUUCCUGCAACCUGACUACCCCUUAGGUGAGGGAGUCCAGAAUGCUGGCUUGAAAUGGGAGAGAGAAAGAACUGCCACAUAAUUUGCAAGAUCUUUUUUGAAAAAGAAAAGGUAUUAAGAAUUCCAGGACAGCAUUAGGAAUGUAUUAAACCAGAAUAAGGAACAGCGGAGCUUCCCCCUAAGACCCUGGUGUGUUUCUGCAUCAGGAAACCUUCUCUCCUGCAAUGUGUCGUUUAAGAUUGAACAACAUGGUGCCUUUGCCAGAAGUUAACAGGAAACCCAAAAGGAGAUGAGCCAGACUGGUUAGUUCAGAAGAGAAUCGUUGGGGAAGACAAUGGGAGCUGCUGUUUGAAUGUGGCCCUGAGAUUAUUUGUGCUUUUCAAUCCCAUGUUACCAAAACACAUUUCAAGCUGGCCUAUAAAUCACACCUUGUG